RNAcentral lists this ribosomal RNA (824 nucleotides) under uncultured Acidobacteriota bacterium. RNAcentral describes it as "bacterial SSU rRNA". It matches the Rfam family "Bacterial small subunit ribosomal RNA", at positions 943 to 1505 of the family's 1533-position model. The record is from RNAcentral. Lineage: Bacteria; Pseudomonadati; Acidobacteriota.
GGUCCAGGACGGCCCCCCAGGGGAGCGUUGUUGCCCUCCCCACCUUCGGCGGAAGGUCACUAACGGCCCGCGUGAGCUCCACCCUAUUGCGGCCGUUUUUGGAACCCGGUCGGUUAAGGAAGAAAAAUACCUUGGUCUGCCCAGCCGCACUCCGCUGGAAAACGGCCCCGCCCCCAAGCCCGACGUCCUCGGUGGAUAUGCCCGGCUUGAAGCAAGGCGCGGACAGCCCUGGCGGUCAGGGCGACUUCGCCAUGCGCAUGACUGGGUUCUUCAUUCCGCCGGUCAGUGGCGACUACGUGUUCUUCGUCUCCUCGGAUGACGAUUCAGAUCUCUUCCGCAAGGACAUGGAGCAAGGUGCUGCAUGGCCGUCGUCAGCUCGUGCCGUGAGGUGUUGGGUUAAGUCCCGCAACGAGCGCAACCCCUGUUUCUAGUUGCCAGCAUGUAAUGGUGGGGACUCUAGAAAAACUGCCCGCGCAAGCGGAGAGGAAGGAGGGGAUGACGUCAGGUCAGCAUGGCCUUUAUGUCUGGGGCCACACACGUGCUACAAUGGCAGGUACAAACCGUCGCGAGACCGCAAGGUGGAGCUAAUCGGAUAAAGCCUGUCUCAGUUCGGAUUGUCGGCUGCAACUCGCCGGCAUGAAGUUGGAAUCGCUAGUAAUCGCGGAUCAGCACGCCGCGGUGAAUACGUUCCCGGGCCUUGUACACACCGCCCGUCACAUCACGAAAGCUGGCUGUACUAGAAGUAGCAGCGCUAACCCGCAAGGGAGGCAUGUUCCUAAGGUAUGGUCAGUGAUUGGGGUGAAGUCGUAACAAGGUAAAUGCAA